AGGUUUCGGCCUGAGAUAAAUCUCUCCAACUUCUCUGAUUGGAAUAUUCUAAACUCUAAAUAUUUCACUCAGGUUCUAAGUAUUGAUCAUAAUGUUAAUGAAGCAACCCUUGAACUAGCUCAAGGUAGAUACUCUUCAGAUGCCAUGGAAAAUAUAUAUCAGGAGUACAGGGAUUUAUAUGGAGUUCUCAGCGUAAAAUCUAAACCUUUUCAUUUAGGAGACCCAAGCACAGUUCCCAGAGACGGUCUGCACACUCUUAG
Eurytemora carolleeae is the source of this 260-nucleotide long non-coding RNA. RefSeq lists it as uncharacterized. The transcript has 4 exons. The record is from RefSeq and is a predicted model, not a curated record. Lineage: Eukaryota; Metazoa; Arthropoda; Copepoda; Calanoida; Temoridae.